CAGUCAUUACCAAGGCUUUUAGAAUGCAGUUUCUCACUUGCUAUGGUCAUGACCACAAAAAAUUUUCCCACUAGGUUUUCUGCACGCUGCUUUGUUAGCAGUUAAUCUGGGGACAGUA
RNAcentral lists this small nucleolar RNA (118 nucleotides) under Castor canadensis (American beaver). Its description in RNAcentral is "Small nucleolar RNA SNORA32 (ENSCCNG00000024853.1)". It matches the Rfam family "Small nucleolar RNA SNORA32". From Rfam's summary of the family: ACA32 is a member of the H/ACA class of snoRNA that guide the sites of modification of uridines to pseudouridines. The record is from Rfam by way of RNAcentral. Lineage: Eukaryota; Metazoa; Chordata; Mammalia; Rodentia; Castoridae.